Molecule: long non-coding RNA, 333 nt
Organism: Suricata suricatta (meerkat)
Lineage: Eukaryota; Metazoa; Chordata; Mammalia; Carnivora; Herpestidae
Exons: 2
Source: RefSeq, a predicted model, not a curated record
CCAGGUGUCCAAGAAUAAAAUUUUUACAAACUUUACUUGUAGGCAGUAGGUUGAGAAGAAUGGACUAGAGUGUGCAGACACUAGACACAACAUUGAAGAAAGAUAAAGGGGAAGACAUGCUGCUGGGGAGGAUAACUUCAGGAGCUUAACGUUUUGUGAUUCUCCUAAAGCAAUACCUAGAAGGCAGUGGUGACAUAAAGGAGAUCAGCUGUCUGCUCUGCAUUCAAGAAAUAAAUGACAUGAAAUAAAUAAAUGAUGUAGUUUUAAAAAAUGGUAUACCCUAUGCACUAUGAUCCUCUCCUUUAAUUAAACUCUCCAUAAACUUUGGUAACA